Molecule: ribosomal RNA, 253 nt
Filed under: uncultured bacterium
Lineage: Bacteria
Description: partial 16S ribosomal RNA
Rfam family: Bacterial small subunit ribosomal RNA
Source: RNAcentral
UACGAAGGGGGCGAGCGUUGUUCGGAAUUACUGGGCGUAAAGCGUGCGUAGGCGGCUAUGAAAGUUAGAAGUGAAAGCCCAGGGCUCAACCCUGGAAUUGCUUUUAAAACUCCAUAGCUUGAAUUCGGGAGAGGAUAGCGGAAUUCUCAGUGUAGCAGUGAAAUGCGUAGAUAUUGAGAGGAACACCAGUGGCGUAGGCGGCUAUCUGGCCCGACAUUGACGCUGAGGCACGAAAGCGUGGGGAGCAAACAGG